Non-coding RNA from Rattus norvegicus (Norway rat), 8741 nucleotides. Lineage: Eukaryota; Metazoa; Chordata; Mammalia; Rodentia; Muridae. The record is from RefSeq and is a predicted model, not a curated record.
UCUUUAUAGGCAUCUGAUAGGGAAUGAGGAUCCAGGGUUUCGGAGGGUGUUUCUCCGGCUUGGGUGUUGUAUCAUUCAUCACGGAAUUCAAAGCCAGGUCCCUACUUACUCCCGUGCCUAUAAGGCUGUCUCGACAGGGGGCAACAGGGUGCUGUGUGAUAGUCCACAUGUGUUUCUACUGCAUCACGGAAGGAGAUACAGACGUGACCUCCUAGGACAUGGGCAAAUGCUCAGGGCCAGCGGUAGCUCCAGUGAGCCCCUGAAGAAACUCACUGCUUCUACGAGCCUGACAUUUUAGACUCCACACAGAAGUGAGAUUGUGCAAUGUGUGCCUGGUCUAUUUGACUUAGCACAGUGUUCUCAGUGCUCAACCACUGUAGUUACAAAUGGCAGGGUCUAUUUUUGAGUUGACUCGGGGAAGGAAGAGACUCACAAGCUCUUGGCAGAUAAAUUUUUUAUCUCCCAAAGUCGUAAGUACAAAAUGGAGUGACAAAGAUCUUCACAUUUUGCUCAUCUCUUUGGUCACUUUCCUGCUUUGGAUCGAUCACUCUUCGCUUAUGAUUUUGGUGUGAACCUCGCGGCUCUUCACCCGCAGCUUGUUGACCUGGGACUCGGCGAUGUCAGCCCGCUCCUCGGCUUCCUCCAGCUCGUGCUGGAUCUUGCGGAACUUGGCCAGGUUGACGUUGGAUUGUUCCUCCUGAGAAUGGGAAUGCAUUUGUAAGGAAGAAAUGCUCACAUUUCUAGAUUUUAGGGUCAGUGCAACUUGGGUGUCUUUUUGUUUAAAACCAAUUCAUCCUAGUAAAUUUUCAAAGAAGUCUUGAGAAGUGUGCACUUUUUUUUUGGUCCUAUUAACUCCCCUAUGCUUCAUGAAGUCAUUGUUAAACACAGGUGACAUUGUCUCUGAAUUUUCAGAAAAGCUAACGCUACCAUGAUUGUGCCAGAUUUCCAGGCUCUGUUGUCAUUCCUGUUGAGUUUUCCAGAGAAUGGACAAGACUCACACAAGCAAUCGCUAUGACACCAAACAGAAUAUAAAUUAUUGCCACUUAGGUCUUAAAUUAUCCCCCACUUAAAAAAGUUUAGAAAUUAAACAUGUUUAUUAUUCUCAAAAAUAAUCCAAGUUGUCUCUGAUUAUGCUUGUAGAUAUAGUAAUGAAUUUUGAAAGGCCAAUUUUAAUUUAGUCUCCAGUAAUUAUUCUUUUUUUUAAUGUCUCAUUAAGAACCUUCGCAAAAUAUGACAGGCAGAUUUAGAACACUUAGGAAGCUUAAAAUUACUUGAAAUAGGGUAGCUCCAAAAAGCCCUGCAUCUUCCUUUCACAGUAGAUUAAAAAGCAAGAUCUGGAGUGGAGGGAAGCUACGUGGUUCGCCAGGCUGUGGCUGUGAGGUAUACGUGUGUGUAUGUCUGUUCUCUCUUCUUCCUUUGCUCUCCUCCUCCCCUUUCUCUUCCUCUCAGAGCUAAGAGUUCAGGAGUUAAACAAAAGCCACCAGUGGACAGAGGACCUUAUCACAAUGUGCAGGUACAUGUAUCCAUAGAGACACAGGUGACACCUGACUCCAUAGGAUGAGUCAGAGAAGGGUAAAUGAGAUGACAUAGAGCUGCAGUCGCCCACUGGUUAGGACAUCACUGAACCUUCUGGCCUCCAUACUAUGUAUGACCCUUCAGCUGCUCCCUGGGUCUCUUUACUGCAUAUGCAACAAUGUCUUGUGAAGUAAUUAAAGUAGAAUUCCUACUUCCUUCUCAUCCGGAUCAUCUGGUCCCCUUUGCUUUCCAUUUCAGUCAUAUCUUACUUCCCCGUCUGGCUACUCACACCACAACUUGGUGGAUUAUUCCUGCUUUGUUUCCUUUUACUUCCAGGGCCAGCCUACUGGCAAGCCUAAUGCCUUCUCUCUCCAGGACAAAUCCUGAAUCUCAUCAAUUCUCUUGGUUUUAUUUCUGCCUUUAAUGCAAGCCACACACCCACCUGAAAGACUUCCCAACAUACAUUCGUGCACCUACUUGGGUUUUCCAACAAUCUUUUCUCUACACUCUACUGACAUUUUAAAAAAUAAAAAUCAGGCCACAUCUGGCCUGGAAGGAAAUAUUUCCCUUGAUUCUGUGGCCUGAUUGUUUUUGUAUUAUGAUGAAGGCUUCUUUCCAGGGCCCAGAAGGCCUUGUGACCUACUUUCCAUCUGGUUCUCUAGCCCCAGGUACACUGUUCUCUUUCUCAGUCUUGCUGAUCCAUGAACUAAGUACAUUGCCCGCCCCCCAGCACACUAUAGGGGUUAUUCUUUGGUUAGCUGAGUUUGAUGCUUAUAACUGGACUCGGGGCCUCAAAGAUGCCAAGCCCACAUUCUCCCACUGAGCUAUAUCCCAUCCUUAUUCUCGCUAGUACACUCUUCUAUGCCUUAUGGAAUGGCCAGUAGCCUCACAUUCUUAGACCCUCAAUAGAUCAUUUCCCUCUGAUUCUUCCUUGAUCCCCCCCCCUUUUUUUGCCUUCUGGUGUCUGUUGGCCACCCAGUCAUGUCAGGGGUUCUGAUCUCACCGCUUCCUCGGCUUGUCUCUUGUAUGCUUUGACCUUUGAUUGCAGUUUGUCCACAAGGUCCUGGAGCCUGAGAACGUUCUUGCGGUCUUCCUCAGUCUGAAAGAUUUUAAAGUGUGAGUUUCUUGAAAGCAUAAAUACCACUUCUUUUUUCUGCAUCUAUGGUUUUUAAAUGUCUUGCAGAUAGGGUUGGAAACCCAGAGAAGGCCUUUCCUUACUUGGUAAGUGAGUUCUUUCACUCUUCUCUCAUGUUUGCGCAGACCCUUGAUAGCUUCAACAUUGCGCUUCUGUUCGUUUUCAACUUCUCCUUCAAGUUCACGGACCUACACAGAAAAUGUGGAUUAAAAAAUAAUUUUUUUUUACAUUUGCUUAUUUUACUUUAGGUGUAUGAGUGUUUGCUUGCUUGUGCGAAUGUGCACCACAGAGGUCAGAAGUGAGCCCCCUGGGAAUUGGUGGUACAGAUGGUUGUGAGUCAUCACAUGGAUGCCAGUGCUGGGAACUCAACCUAGGGUCUAUGCAUGAGCUGCAAGUGUCCUUAACCACUGAGCCAUCUCUUCAGGCCCCAAAGGCAGAUUUAUAAAAAUUGUUUCUAUCAUCUAAUCAAUCAGUGAACUUCUCCUUCUUCAACUGGCCUGCUAUGUCAUAUGUAGAUCCUGAUGUCUUCAUCCAAGUGCUCAAACUUAAGCUGUCAGGCCACAGGGACUAUCUGCUCUUCACCUCAGCAUGCCCUACAAGGUCUAGCUGUCUUAGGUAUAAAAAGUCAUGUGCUAGGGUAGAAAGAGACGAACGCAUGGUAACCAGGACACCCACCCUGGCCUCCAGUUUCUGGAUCUGCUUCUUGCCGCCCUUCAGCGCCAGCUGCUCAGCCUCGUCCAGACGGUGCUGCAGGUCCUUCACCGUCUGCUCCAGGUUCUUCUUCAUCCGCUCCAGAUGGGCGCUGGUGUCCUGCUCCUUCUUCAGCUCCUCCGCCAUCAUGGCGGCCUGGAGAGUGAUAAAACAGAGUUGGUUAAGGGCAGACAAGGGCCCAGCAGGAUUCAGACGUGCUAUCUCCAUUCUCACUCUCCACUCACGUCAGUGAUGGCUUUCUUGGCCUUCUCUUCUGCAUUGCGGGCUUCCUGGACGAUGUCCUCCAUCUCUCCCUGGAUCUGGGAAAUGUCUGUCUCCAGCUUCUUCUUGGUGUUGAUGAGGCUGGUGUUCUGAUUAAAAGACCAAACACACAAAUAUUAAAUAUUGAAGAACAAAGUCAGAAAGCCAGAUGUCCAAAGGAGCCUGUAAACUAGUUAUUAACAAGCAUCCCUCAGGAGUUCCAUAAAUUAUCUGAGUUAAGAGUAUAUUUUUAAAGGACAGUCAAUUCUGGAUGUCAUGGGUCAGAUAAACAAAAAUGUUGUUGCCCUUCCUCAGUUAAACAUGUUAAACUUAGUUCUUCAUAAAACAUUAUGGGUAAAUUUCUGAACAGUGGUAAUACCCAUGCAUGUUUUUUUUCCUUCAUAUUUACACACCUGGGUGUGGAGGAGCUGCACGCGCUCACUGGCGUCCAGCAGUUCCUGCUCUGCAAUCUUCCUGCUCCUCUCAGUCUGCUCCAGAGUGGCCCGCAGCUCCUCGAUCUCAGCCUGCAGCAGGUUGGCUCUGCGCUCCACCAUGGCCAGCUGCUCCUUCAGGUCCUCCUGGCCCCGGAGAGCGUCAUCCAGGUGCAACUGGGUGUCCUGUGCAGUGAACAAUCAUUGAGACACUGUGUCCUCAGUCCGUGUCACAGCACUCAUCUGGGAUCACCUCUUGGUGCCACCUACCUUGAGGAUGCCUUGGGUGUUCCUGUAGUUUCUCAGGGCCUCAGCAGCCAUGCGGUUGGAGUGGUUCAGCUGGAUUUCCAUCUCAUUGAGGUCUCCCUCCAUCUUCUUCUUGAUCCUGAUGGCGUCAUUCCUGCUCCUGAUCUCGGCAUCCAGCGUGCUCUGCAUGGACUCCACGACUCGAAUGUGGUUUCUCUUCAGCUGGUCAAUUUCCUCAUCCUUCUCAGCAAUCUUCCUGUCGAUCUCAGACUUGACUUGGUUCAGCUCCAGCUGGAUGCGCAGGAUCUUUCCCUCCUCGUGCUCCAGAGAUGCCUUAAGGACAGUGAGAGGUGACAUUAGCAGGAGAAUGGCUCUGUGCAGUGUCCUAGGAAGGUUAAAUUAUCCCCCUCGUGUGUACCUGUCUUUGUGUUACCACCAAACAUUUUGAUAUGCGACAUUACUCUGCUUUGCUAUAGAAGUAUGUGGUAUGCAUUGUUGUUGGUAUUAUGUAUGUCCCUCUCUCUAGCCAGAUGUUUCUCCCUAAGGAAGGACCCUCCCCUUACUCAUACUUGUUUGUUUUGUUUCUACCACAGUUCUUGAUAUGUACUUAUGGUAUUGUGUUCAUCCUUUAUCUUUAUCCUCAGUGGAGAGAAUAAAGAAUCAUUUUUCAUGUUUUUGGUCCACCAAUCUUUGCACCCCAGAGCAAGGACCUAGUUUCUUCUAUAAUUGUUGUGAAAUGUUCAAUAGAGUGUCACCUCUGCUUCCUCUAAAGCAGCCUGGAGCUCGGAUUUUUCUUGCUCAAUUUGCUUCUUUAUUUUUUCCAGUUCAUGGAUACGUUUCCCUCCUUCUGCAAUCUGUUCAGUGAGGUCAGAGAUCUCCUCUGUUAGGAAAAAAGAAAUAGGAAUGUGUACAGAGAUGGGGAGUGCCCCUUUAAAUCUCUUGUUAAAGAAAAUGAGAGAUGAACUCACGUUGCAAAUUCUUAUUUUCCCUUUUCAAGGUUUCAAGUUGGUCUAAAGAUUCCUCAUAAGCAUUCUUAAUCUUGAACAACUCUGUGCUGAGAGAGCGGGACUCCUUCUGGGAGGCUUCAAGUUCAGCAUGCGUUUCCUCAUACUUCUGUUUCCAUUCUGCCAGGAUCUGAAAAAGCAAGGGAUGUUGAAAAAGAUGUAGCUGAUAAAGUUUGAGGGGUUGGGGUAGAAGCCAUGUGUUACAGAAACUCUGAGUUUGAUCUGAGUGUUCUCAGGUUGAAAAAAAAUAAUUAUGAAGGAGAAAAACUAACAAAGGAGUACUAACACACACACACACACACACGCACGCACACACACACCCUGCUAAUGGAUGAGGGCAACCAAGUGGUUUAGAAGGCUGAUCUCAUCAAAGACCGUAGAAGGAUCUGGAAGCACACCUUGUCGAAGUUUCUCUGCUUCUUGUCCAGGGCGGCACAGGCAGCGUUGGUCCUCUCCACAUCAAUCAUGAGGUCCUCCACCUCAUUCUGCAGCCUCUGCUUCGUCUUCUCCAGGGAAGCACACUUGGCGUUCACGGCUUCUACGUGCUCCUCAGCAUCCUGCAGACGCUGAGCCAGCUUCUUCCUGAGAAAUGACAAUGGAUGAAUGGUUAGAACUAACUGCUUCAAAAAACAGCUGCAACUAAGCCUCCUACUGAACUGAUUUGCAAUACUGUUGUGUGUGGAAUGUUACAGAACACUCAAAGGAGUUGUUCAUUUAAUGAUCGUUAGCCCGUCAUGUGAUCCUGGGACUUUCUUGGUCAUCACGGAGCUGAGAUUUUAGCAUCAGAGAGAACCCUGAGACUCACAGACUGAACUUGGAGCUGCAGGUCAUUUUUCUCCUGCAUCAGAGCCACCAUCUUUUCUUCUAGCUCUUUCCUUUUGGCCUCUGCCUUUGCAAGGUUUUCUUUAGUUUUUUCAAACUCUUCCUUCAUGUUGGCCAUCUCCUUCUCUGUCUCGGCACUCUUCAAGAGAGGUUUGAUCUUGAAAUACAGCUUCAUCCAGGGCCAGUGUUUCACAUUCAUGAAGGCUCGGACGUUGUACUGGAUGCAGAAGAUGGACUCUCUGUGAGAGGAACAGAAAUGUUCAAAGUUGGAUUCUGGCAGGAAUCAGGAAUAAAGGGACUAGAACAAUGAAUGAUACCCUUAUUCAUACCUUCGCUCCACCAUCUUCUGGUACUCCACUCUUGCCAAGUACCCUCGGCACAUGGCCUGCGUCCGGGUAAUCAGCUGGGCCAACUUGUCAUCUCUCAUCUCCUCUAGGAGCCCCAGAAGACCAGCUUUGAAAAAGACCUGUGUGCAAGCAAUGUUUCAGAUCAGAAACUUCACACAAAGUUUAAAGGGGCAGGAAAACAUUAAGUUGGAUUUCAAGAGGAUUACCUUGGUGUGACCAAACUUAUACUGAGUGUGGUCAAUGUCGAUGGAGCCAAGGAGCUUCUCAGAAGCCUUCUUGCUAUCGAUGAAUUGUCCCUCGGGGAUGGCACUUGCAUUUAACACCUUGUAUCUGUUCAAGCCAACCAAAUAAAUGACAUAGCUAUUGUCACCAAGCAAAUCUCCUUACCAUAGGAACACUAUUGAAAGAACUAUAUUAUCCCUUUAUCUAUUCCUCGUACAGUCAAAGGACUUUACAACAUGUCCCCAAGUCACUUGAAUGCUGCUUUUCUAAUUGUUAAAAAGGAAAAGCAAUAGCAAAAACCCUUAAACUAAUCCACAGUGACAAAUAUACAACCUCUGCUUGAAGUCUGCGUAGAGGAUCCUGCUGGGGAACCCCUUCCUGCAGAUGCGGAUGCCUUCCAGUACCCCGUUACACCUCAGCUGGUGCAGGACCAGUUCGUGCUCCAUGGCACCUGAAAGAACACAUGCACUUCAUGGUCUAGACUCUGAAACAAACACACUGGGACUUGUCUGGUUAGAGGACAGAAGUGUCUUACCAGGCGUCUUAGUCUCAUUGGGGAUGAUGCACCGGACAAAGUGGGGGUGAGUGCUCCUCAGAUUGGUCAUCAGCUUAUUCAGGUUCUCCUAUGGAGUCAUAGAACGUCUACUUUAGUGUGUGAUGUUAUAUACACUCCCAUUUACAGGCAGAGUGGCCAUGAACCACCACUUUGGUUCAAUUCUACUGAAUAGUAUGCAGUUGUGAGUUUUCCAGACUCAUGGAUAGAGUUUCUAAGGCCUUGACAUGCCCUCCUAGCUUAUGUUUUGUGGACCACAAGCAUGGCUUCCUGUUAGUUGUUGAGAUGGCUGCUCACUGCUGAUGAAUUUCUUGGCAUGUGUGACAUAUUUAUCAUAGCACUGUAAGCGUGUGAUGGAGCUUCAUCCACACAUGGGGCCUUUGCUGAGGUAUUUGGUGUGGCUUAACUCCUAAUCCAGUGCUGCCUUCCAGCCUUCCAUCUAUCACCUUACUUCCCUGAGCUCUUUUCUUGUUCUGGAUACACAGCUGUAUCAUCCUACUAAUAGCCACAAUACUAAGUAUCAAAAGUUUACCAUUUUUUGGAGAAACUCUUUCAAAAUAACAAGAGCAUCCAGUUUUGAAGAUGCAAUUAAGCCAAGAAAAGAGAUUUUUUUUCCCUUGAAAUCUCCAGAUUUAUCACAUCUGGUUUCUUAUAUUUUCUCCUUUGGACUCACUGCUCUCCAAUUCCUGCUGUGAUUCACCAGUCCUCCACUUUCAAAUGAAGCCUCUACUAAGUAUAGACUCCUAGACUAUACUUAGGAACUUGGAAGCUCCCAGAAGAUCAAGAAAAUCUCAUCGUAUAUGCAAUCUUGUCCUGCUGGAGUUGUGUUUUUGUUUUUGUUUUUGUUUUUGUUUUUGUUUUUGUUUUUGUUUUUGUUUUUUAAUGCCAAAUGACCUCGUUACUGAGUUUCCAAUCUGAUGCUUCUGUAAGUCACUCCUGACCCUUAUCUUGGUUAUUAGGGAUUGCUUCAAAGCUAUUCUGACCCUCCCUAAAAUUCAGGUCUACCACUGCCUUCUGACCCACCCCAACCCACCUGAGUCAUAUAACCAGUUUCAGAGUCUUCAAGACAAUAUCUCUGCCCCACCACACCCUUUAUAUACAGCCACAUAUAAUCUAACACCCUAAACCUGUUUAGAGAGAACAUGAAGUUUGUACCCUGAAGAGAGCUGACACAGUCUGGAAGGAAGAACCCUUCUUCUUUGCCCCUUUCUUUCCACCACCGCCACCAGACUCUGGGGAAGCAAGGAAAGCAGAGUCAUUUAGAAGCCAGGCUUAGAAAUUCCACAUUAAAUAAAUAUCACAUUAAUAAAUAUCACAUUAAAUAAAUAUCACAGUAAUAAAUAUUACCUGCUUCAGCAGCAGCUGCUGCCCCAGAGAAGAGGUAAGCCAGAGUUUUCAUUGAAGACUUCUGGUACAGCCCCACCACGGUCUCAUUCAGGGGGUCCUUGUUCUUGUCCAGCCAGCCAGCGAUGUUGUAGUCAACGGUGCCGGCAUAGUGCACCAGAGAGAAGUGGG